UGCAGUACGAGCGACAGAUGAGAAGCUUGCUUCUCUGAUGUUAGCGGCGGACGGGUGAGUAACACGUGGGUAACCUACCUAUAAGACUGGGAUAACUCCGGGAAACCGGGGCUAAUACCGGAUAAUAUUUUGAACCGCAUGGUUCAAUAGUGAAAGACGGUUUCGGCUGUCACUUAUAGAUGGACCCGCGCCGUAUUAGCUAGUUGGUAAGGUAACGGCUUACCAAGGCGACGAUACGUAGCCGACCUGAGAGGGUGAUCGGCCACACUGGAACUGAGACACGGUCCAGACUCCUACGGGAGGCAGCAGUAGGGAAUCUUCCGCAAUGGGCGAAAGCCUGACGGAGCAACGCCGCGUGAGUGAUGAAGGUCUUCGGAUCGUAAAACUCUGUUGUUAGGGAAGAACAAAUUUGUUAGUAACUGAACAAGUCUUGACGGUACCUAACCAGAAAGCCACGGCUAACUACGUGCCAGCAGCCGCGGUAAUACGUAGGUGGCAAGCGUUAUCCGGAAUUAUUGGGCGUAAAGCGCGCGUAGGCGGUUUCUUAAGUCUGAUGUGAAAGCCCACGGCUCAACCGUGGAGGGUCAUUGGAAACUGGGAAACUUGAGUGCAGAAGAGGAGAGUGGAAUUCCAUGUGUAGCGGUGAAAUGCGCAGAGAUAUGGAGGAACACCAGUGGCGAAGGCGGCUCUCUGGUCUGUAACUGACGCUGAUGUGCGAAAGCGUGGGGAUCAAACAGGAUUAGAUACCCUGGUAGUCCACGCCGUAAACGAUGAGUGCUAAGUGUUA
This 787-nucleotide ribosomal RNA is filed under the name Staphylococcus sp. APSAU151. RNAcentral describes it as "bacterial SSU rRNA". It matches the Rfam family "Bacterial small subunit ribosomal RNA", at positions 56 to 825 of the family's 1533-position model. Lineage: Bacteria; Bacillati; Bacillota; Bacilli; Caryophanales; Staphylococcaceae. The record is from RNAcentral.